CUCCACUAAUUCAUUAGUUCAUUCCAUACAUACAUAUACCCAUGCAUGCAUGCAUCCAUCCACUCACACAUACAUACAUACAUACAUACAUACAUACAUACAUACAUCUAUUCAUCCAUCCAUCCAUAUACCUACAUACCCAUCCAUCCAUUUAUUCAUCCAACAGCCCACCCAUCCACCCACGUCCCCACACAUACUUAUAUACACACACACAUCCUUCCAUCCAUCCAUUCAUCCAUCCUUACACCCACCCACCUAUGGAUCCACCCAUCCAUCCAUACAUACAUACAUACACCCAUGCAUACAUGUAUCCAUGCAUCUAACCAUCCAUCCAUCUAUCCACACAGCAACAUACAUAUAUAUACACACGCAUCCAUCUGUCCAUAUACCCACACAUACAUACAUACAUACAUACAUACAUACAUACACUCCCAUACACAUGCAUCCACCCACCCAUCUAUCCAUCCAUCCAUCCAUAUGAUCAAUAAGAAUGUCGCAGAAGUGCCUUCUCCAUGCUCCUCUAUACACUGAAACACAGAUAUAAGAGUGAAAAUCACACAGACUCAAGCCCCGUGGG
This 577-nucleotide long non-coding RNA is filed under the name Mus musculus (house mouse). RNAcentral describes it as "long non-coding RNA chr2:179240489-179241066". The record is from RNAcentral. Lineage: Eukaryota; Metazoa; Chordata; Mammalia; Rodentia; Muridae.